GGCCGGUCCAAAUGCAGUGGUGCUUACAACUAAUAAUUGAUCACAACCAGUUACAGAUUUCUUUGUUCCUUCUCCACUCCUAUUGCUUCACUUGACUAGUCAUAA
RNAcentral lists this Y RNA (105 nucleotides) under Pongo abelii (Sumatran orangutan). RNAcentral's name for it is "Y RNA (ENSPPYG00000023366.2)". It matches the Rfam family "Y RNA". From Rfam's summary of the family: Y RNAs are components of the Ro ribonucleoprotein particle (Ro RNP), in association with Ro60 and La proteins. Lineage: Eukaryota; Metazoa; Chordata; Mammalia; Primates; Hominidae. The record is from Rfam by way of RNAcentral.